CAAGAAUGAAACUCAAAGGAAUUGACGGGGGCCCGCACAAGCGGUGGAGCAUGUGGUUUAAUUCGAUGAUACGCGAGGAACCUUACCAGGGCUUAAAUGUAGAUUGACAGGUUUAGAGAUAGACUUUUCUUCGGACAAUUUACAAGGUGCUGCAUGGUUGUCGUCAGCUCGUGCCGUGAGGUGUCAGGUUAAGUCCUAUAACGAGCGCAACCCCUGUUGUUAGUUGCCAGCGAUUCAAGUCGGGAACUCUAACAAGACUGCCAGUGCAAACUGUGAGGAAGGUGGGGAUGACGUCAAAUCAUCACGGCCCUUACGUCCUGGGCUACACACGUGCUACAAUGGUAGGUACAGAGAGCAGCCACUGCGCGAGCAGGAGCGAAUCUACAAAACCUAUCACAGUUCGGAUCGGAGUCUGCAACUCGACUCCG
This 428-nucleotide ribosomal RNA is filed under the name Flavobacteriaceae bacterium. RNAcentral describes it as "bacterial SSU rRNA". It matches the Rfam family "Bacterial small subunit ribosomal RNA", at positions 889 to 1320 of the family's 1533-position model. The record is from RNAcentral. Lineage: Bacteria; Pseudomonadati; Bacteroidota; Flavobacteriia; Flavobacteriales; Flavobacteriaceae.